CCUACGGGUAGCAGCAGUCGAGAAUCAUUCACAAUGGGGGAAACCCUGAUGAUGCGACGCCGCGUGGGGGAUUGAAGGUCUUCGGAUUGUAAACCCCUGUCAUGUGGGAGCAAAUUAAAAAGAUAGUACCACAAGAGGAAGAGACUGCUAACUCUGUACCAGCAGCCGCGGUAAUACAGAGGUCUCAAGCGUUGUUCGGAUUCACUGGGCGUAAAGCGUGCGUAGGCUGUUUUGUAAGUCGUGUGUGAAAGGCGCGGGCUCAACCCGAGGAGGGCACAUGAUACUGGGAGACUAGAGUAAUGGAGGGGGAACCGGAAUUCGCGGUGUAGCAGUGAAAUGCGUAGAUAUCGAGAGGAAC
This 358-nucleotide ribosomal RNA is filed under the name uncultured bacterium. RNAcentral describes it as "partial 16S ribosomal RNA". It matches the Rfam family "Bacterial small subunit ribosomal RNA", at positions 338 to 707 of the family's 1533-position model. The record is from RNAcentral.